RNAcentral lists this transfer RNA (73 nucleotides) under Polyangiaceae bacterium. Its description in RNAcentral is "tRNA-Phe". It matches the Rfam family "tRNA". Rfam says of the family: Transfer RNA (tRNA) molecules are approximately 80 nucleotides in length. Their secondary structure includes four short double-helical elements and three loops (D, anti-codon, and T loops). The record is from RNAcentral. Lineage: Bacteria; Pseudomonadati; Myxococcota; Polyangiales; Polyangiaceae.
GUCCAGGUAGCUCAGUCGGUAGAGCAGUGGAUUGAAAAUCCACGUGUCGACAGUUCGAUUCUGUCCCUGGACA